This 1403-nucleotide unclassified non-coding RNA is filed under the name Hevea brasiliensis (rubber tree). Lineage: Eukaryota; Viridiplantae; Streptophyta; Magnoliopsida; Malpighiales; Euphorbiaceae. The record is from RNAcentral.
GAUUAAUGAGGAAUUCUUUCUUAAUAGUCAAUUGUAAGUAUUAUCACAGUGAAAAGCAGAGGGGUGAGGAAAACAAUGUUUCUUGCUCCUAAGGUUAGGUUCACAAAUUUGGCUAAAAGCAGAAGUCUUAUGUGCUACCACAAUUAGUACAUAGUAACACACCUAUACAGCAACCGAGUGGACUUCUAAAGGAAGCAAUUCCAAACUGAUCACUUGCUAGUUCAACUAAACCAUGUCAACACUUGUCUUCAACAACUUAUCAGGAUACUUGCGGGAGGAACCACUUAAUUCUCAAGACGCAGCUUUAAGGGCUCAAACUCCAAAAAACAGGAUUCACAAAUUGGACAAUAGGACUAGUCUGAUAUCAUUUUAUACAUUUGCUCAAAUGAAAGAAGUUGGCAUAACUAUAAUCUAAUUGUUUACAUCUAAAAUUCAUUUCAAUAGAGGCAUUACAACACUGAACAUAUAUGAUACAUAAGAUUCUUCACAUGUUCUCUUGUAAAACUUCUAUUUCAGAAUUGCUAUUUUUUCCCUCUAAAAUCAGAAUCAUCUUCCUACCACUUGAAUAAAAAAGUUUAACAAAGAAAGCCAUUCUGAGACAACAUCACCUCAUGUAGACAUCUUAAUUCAAGCACCAGUUCUCAGGCAUCUCUAUUUCAUGACAAACUAUGAACAUCAGACAGAACAAGGACUUUGCCAUGUAGAUAUGUCAGUGACAAGAUCUCGUAGUUGAUCAAUGAGAAGCUUGAGAUAUGCAUUCUUGUUCACAAGUUCCUUUCUCAGAUUGGAGGCUUGUUCUUCUAAUUUCUCAAUCUCGGCUUGAUUUGCUGGAGAUGAUGUACUGUUUGUGGUUGAACCCGUUUCAAAUGCUUUUGCCUUCUGAGAAUUGGGGAUCGCCGCGAGGACCUCACGAAGAGCAGCUACUGAAUUCUUGUAGCGAAACCGAGCCUCAUCGAGGGCUCCAUUACUCGUACCAACACCGCCAACAGCUGCAGCGCCACCAUCCAGGUGAUGGACACCAUCAGAUGCAGCAUCGCCAUUGGCUACCACACCAUUUUGAGAGAGAGAAGGUAUAUUAUUAGCAGCAGUAAUAGGUGAAGCUGUGGUGGUGGUACCAGUAGCAGUGGAACCGGUGGACCACAAAGUAGGGUUACAGAGUUCGUCGUUCAUGGAGGAGAGGAUCUGGUAAGCAGCUUGGAUGGUUUCUUCCAGAUGCUUCUGACCUUCAAUUGCAAGCUCCUGAGUUGUUUUGGGUAGCGUUAUUGAAGUCAUGACGCUGUCCUCCAUUUCUAUUUUCUUUUUCCUUCAAUAGUUGGAAAAGGUUUUUCUGCUCUCUCUUAGCUAUCGUUUCCUUUCCAAAAGUUUCUUAGCUCCCAAACAAAGGAAUUUGACGGAACAAAGAA